Molecule: ribosomal RNA, 47 nt
Filed under: mycorrhizal fungal sp. F0A
Lineage: Eukaryota; Fungi
Description: partial 28S ribosomal RNA
Source: RNAcentral
AUUUGACCUCAGAUCGGGUGGGACUACCCGCUGAACUUAAGCAUAUC